RNAcentral lists this ribosomal RNA (393 nucleotides) under uncultured bacterium. RNAcentral describes it as "bacterial SSU rRNA". It matches the Rfam family "Bacterial small subunit ribosomal RNA", at positions 505 to 898 of the family's 1533-position model. The record is from RNAcentral.
GUGUCAGCAGCCGCGGUAAUACGGAGGGGGUUAGCGUUGUUCGGAAUUACUGGGCGUAAAGCGCACGUAGGCGGAUCAGAAAGUUGGGGGUGAAAUCCCGGGGCUCAACCCCGGAACGGCCUCCAAAACUCCUGGUCUUGAGUUCGAGAGAGGUGAGUGGAAUUCCGAGUGUAGAGGUGAAAUUCGUAGAUAUUCGGAGGAACACCAGUGGCGAAGGCGGCUCACUGGCUCGAUACUGACGCUGAGGUGCGAAAGUGUGGGGAGCAAACAGGAUUAGAUACCCUGGUAGUCCACACCGUAAACGAUGAAUGCCAGUCGUCGGGUAGUAUACUGCUCGGUGACACACCUAACGGAUUAAGCAUUCCGCCUGGGGAGUACGGUCGCAAGAUUAAA